This 22-nucleotide microRNA is filed under the name Apis mellifera (honey bee). Its description in RNAcentral is "ame-miR-6063-3p". Lineage: Eukaryota; Metazoa; Arthropoda; Insecta; Hymenoptera; Apidae. The record is from miRBase by way of RNAcentral.
AUCGAUCGAUCGAAGACGCGGU